GACGAACGCUGGCGGCGUGCUUAACACAUGCAAGUCGAACGCUGAAGCUCAGCUUGCUGGGUGGAUGAGUGGCGAACGGGUGAGUAACACGUGAGUAACCUGCCCCCUUCUUUGGGAUAACGCCCGGAAACGGGUGCUAAUACUGGAUAUUCACUGAUCUUCGCAUGGGGGUUGGUGGAAAGGUUUUUUCUGGUGGGGGAUGGGCUCGCGGCCUCUCAGCUUGUUGGUGGGGUGAUGGCCUACCAAGGCUUUGACGGGUAGCCGGCCUGAGAGGGUGACCGGUCACAGUGGGACUGAGAUACGGCCCAGACUCCUACGGGAGGGAGCAGUGGGGAAUAUUGCACAAUGGGCGAAAGCCUGAUGCAGCGACGCCGCGUGAGGGAUGGAGGCCUUCGGGUUGUAAACCUCUUUCGCUCAUGGUCAAGCCGCAACAUUGGUUGUGGUGAGGGUAGUGGGUAAAGAAGCGCCGGCUAACUACGUG
RNAcentral lists this ribosomal RNA (481 nucleotides) under uncultured bacterium. RNAcentral's name for it is "partial 16S ribosomal RNA". It matches the Rfam family "Bacterial small subunit ribosomal RNA", at positions 28 to 507 of the family's 1533-position model. The record is from RNAcentral.